GAAUCAUGGGAGGUGUCUGGAUCCUGGUGCUUUGUCCUCUGAUGUUUUUGCUCCAUGGGUCAUGCUUUCCAGUUGAUAAAAAUGAAGCACAUCAGGAGCCACAGACUGGAAACUUGUUUUCCCAAAAUGAAAUUUACAUGAAGAGGAAAAGUAUGUCUUUGCUCCAGUCAAUGGAUUCCAGGUUGAGG
Cyprinodon variegatus (sheepshead minnow) is the source of this 188-nucleotide long non-coding RNA. RefSeq lists it as uncharacterized. Lineage: Eukaryota; Metazoa; Chordata; Actinopteri; Cyprinodontiformes; Cyprinodontidae. The record is from RefSeq and is a predicted model, not a curated record. The transcript is spliced from 3 exons.